This 3295-nucleotide ribosomal RNA is filed under the name Cylindrocystis cushleckae. Its description in RNAcentral is "partial large subunit ribosomal RNA". It matches the Rfam family "Bacterial large subunit ribosomal RNA". Lineage: Eukaryota; Viridiplantae; Streptophyta; Zygnematophyceae; Zygnematales; Mesotaeniaceae. The record is from RNAcentral.
AAUUUGCAGUUCAAAUGACAAAGGGCUUACGGUGGAUACCUAGGCACCCAGAGACGAAGAAGGGCGUAGAAAGCAACGAAAUGCUACGGUUAGCUGCGAACAAGUGUACCCGUAGAUUCCCGAAUAGGGCAACCUAAAAUACUGCUGCUGAAUAUAUAGGCAGACAAGAGACAACCUGGCGAACUGAAACAUCUUAGUAGCCAGAGGAAAAGAAAGCAAAAGCGAUUCCCUGAGUAGUGGCGAGCGAAAUGGGAACAGCCUAAACCGCUAUUAUAGGCGGGGNUGUGGGGGGGNAUUUCAAUUUGAUAAGAACUAGGUGAAUCAGUUAAAUGCUGUACCAUAGAUGGUGAAAGUCCAGUAACUAAAAGUUCUUAAAAAAUUUUACUCUAACCCGAGUAGCAUGAGGCACGUGAAACCUUGUGUGAAUCAGCGAGGACCACCUCGUAAGGCUAAAUACUCCUGGGUGACCGAUAGUGAAGUAGUACCGUGAGGGAAAGGUGAAAAGAACCCCCAUCGGGGAGUGAAAUAGAUCAUGAAACCGCAAGCCUACAAGCAGUGGAAGGAGAAUAGAAUCUCUGCCCGCGUGCCUGUUGAAGAAUGAGCCGGCGACUUAUAAGCAGUGGCCUGGUUAAGGGAAUACCGAAGCCAUAGCGAAAGCGAGUCAUACUAGGGCGAACGUCACUGUUUAUGGACCCGAACCCGGGUGAUCUAUCCAUGGCCAGGGUGAAGCUUGGGUGAAACCAAGUGGAGGCCCGAACCGACUGGUGUUGAAAAACCAGCGGAUGAGCUGUGGUUAGGGGUGAAAUGCCACUCGAACCCGGAGCUAGCUGGUUCUCCCCGAAAUGCGUUGAGGCGCAGCGGUUGAUUGGACUAUCUAGGGGUAAAGCACUGUUUCGGUGCGGGCUGUGAAAACGGUACCAAAUCGAGGCAAACUCUGAAUACUAGAUAUGACUAGCAGUCAGCCAGUGAGACGGUGGGGGAUAAGCUCCAUCGUCGAGAGGGAAACAGCCCAGAUCACCAGCUAAGGCCCCUAAAUGGCCGCUCAGUGAUAAAGGAGGUGAGAGUGCAAAGACAGCCAGGAGGUUUGCCUAGAAGCAGCCACCCUUGAAAGAGUGCGUAAUAGCUCACUGAUCGAGCGCUCUUGCGCCGAAGAUGAACGGGACUAAGCGGUCUGCCGAAGCUGUGAGAUGUCAUACAAUAAACAUCGGUAGGGGAGCGUUCCGCGUUAGGUAGAAGCAUUAGUGUAAGCAAGUGUGGACGAGGCGGAAGUGAGAAUGUCGGCUUGAGUAACGCAAACAUUGGUGAGAAUCCAAUGCCCCGAAAACCCAAGGUUUUCUUCGCAAGGUUCGUCCACGGGGAGUGAGUCAGGACCUAAGAUCAAGCCGAAUGGCGUAGUCGAUGGACAACAGGUUAAUAUUCCUGUACUGUUUUUUGUUUGCUAUAGAGGGACGGAGAAGGCUAAGGGUAGCCAAAUACUGGUUAUUGGUUUAAGGAUAUUAAACAUCCGAUACUACCUAUGCCAUACUUCCAAGAAAAGCUCGAAAAGUGAAAAACACAAAACACCUGUACCUGAAACCGACACAGGUGGGUAGGUAGAGAAUACCUAGGGGCGCGAGAUAACUCUCUCUAAGGAACUCGGCAAGAUAGCCCCGUAACUUCGGGAGAAGGGGUGCCUCUUUUUUUUAAAAGAGGCCGCAGUGACCAGGCCCAGGCGACUGUUUACCAAAAACACAGGUCUCCGCAAAGUCGCAAGACGACGUAUGGGGGCUGACGCCUGCCCAGUGCCGGAAGGUUAAGGAAGUUAGUGACUCGAAAACGAGGUAGCUAGCGACUGAAGCCCCGGUGAACGGCGGCCGUAACUAUGACGGUCCUAAGGUAGCGAAAUUCCUUGUCGGGUAAGUUCCGACCCGCACGAAAGGCGUAACGAUCUGGGCACUGUCUCGGAGAGAGACUCGGUGAAAUAGACUUGUCUGUGAAGAUGCGGACUACCUGCACCUGGACAGAAAGACCCUAUGAAGCUUUACUGUUCCCUGGGAUUGGGUUUGGGCCUCUCUUGCGCAGCUUAGGUGGGAGGCAAAGAUAAUAUUCUUCCGGGAAUGUUGGAGCCAUCAAUGAGACACCACCCUAGAGAGGCUAGGAUUCUAACCUUGCGCCUACAAGAAGGUCAGGAGACAUUCCCAGGUAGACAGUUUCUAUGGGGCGUAGGCCUCCUAAAGAGUAACGGAGGCGUGCAAAGGUUUCCUCAGGCUGGACGGAAAUCAGCCUUCGAGUGCAAAGGCAAAAGGGAGCUUGACUGCGAGACCUACACGUCGAGCAGGGACGAAAGUCGGCCUUAGUGAUCCGACGGUACCGAGUGGAAGGGCCGUCGCUCAACGGAUAAAAGUUACUCUAGGGAUAGAUGUUUGUCCCGCUUGGUGGUAACGCCAAGGCAAUAAACUGGGUGAAUUGCAAGAAAGCUACCUGCUAAGCACAAGCCAACUUGCAGCGAAGCUUACCGACACACGUCUGUACUAAACAGUCAGUAGGUAAGAACGUUCAACGACUAGGGAGUGAGGGCGUGUUACCAAUAAACUCCCCACGAGCGCCCGGCGACUCUCAAAGAUAUGUUUAUUCUCUGUUUGUUUUGCUUGUUUAAGGAGAGAGGUAUAGUAAAUUUCAACUGAAAUGCUGGCCAAAUAAAAACAAAGGUCGGUCGGCAUGUGAUAGCAGUCUCUGGAAGAAGCUUUGAAGACUUUCAGGCGCUCACAAAAAACUUUAUCAUUCCAUCUAUGCAGGAAAAGCUUCCUUCCCCGCGCAAGCCCAAAAGGAAAGCAACAAUCAUGUAAAAUAUUAAGCAAGAUUCAAAGAUAGAGACUAUUGAUACUGAUACUGAGAGUCGAUGACAUAGUCUGACCUCUCGAGAAACCGAGAGAAGUCGGAGAUAAAGAACUCUGGCGAUAACAAUGUGAACAGGCUGAUCUUCCCCAAGAGUUCACAUCGACGGGAAGGUUUGGCACCUCGAUGUCGGCUCUUCGCCACCUGGCGCGGUAGUACGUGCCAAGGGUUGGGCUGUUCGCCCAUUAAAGCGGUACGUGAGCUGGGUUCAGAACGUCGUGAGACAGUUUGGUCCAUAUCCGGUGUAGGCGUUAGAGCAUUGAGAGGCCCCCUCCCUAGUACGAGAGGACCGGGAGGGACGCACCACUGGUGUACCAGUUAUCGUGCCAACGGUAAACGCUGGGUAGCCAAGUGCGGAGCGGAUAACUGCUGAAAGCAUCUAAGUAGGAAGCCCACCUCAAGAUGAUUGCUCUCUUUAAGA